Long non-coding RNA from Gallus gallus (chicken), 2529 nucleotides. The record is from Ensembl. Lineage: Eukaryota; Metazoa; Chordata; Aves; Galliformes; Phasianidae.
AUGUCCUCUGUGGUGGGAAGUGCAGAGAGGAAGGAGAAGUGUUUGUUGCAGUUUUGCCAUCAUUUGUUUGCUUUGACUCCAGAAUCAGCAGGUGCCCACAGAAGGGGUUGGAACUGAGUGAUCUUUAAGUACCCUUCCAACUCAACAGUCCUAUGGUUCUCUGGUCUUUGCGGUCUCUUCCAACCCAGUCUUCCUAUGAUUCUGUAGCCUUUAAGAUCCUUUCCAACCCAACCAUCUUAUAGUUCCAUGAUCUUUGAGGUCCUUUCGAACCCAACCAUUCUGAGGUUCUAUGAUUUUUCAGGACUCUUCCUACCCAAACCAUUUUAUGGUGCUUUGAUUCUAAAAGACAGAAAUGCCACCUUCUUGUCCCUGGCUGUAAGCUGAUAUAAGGAAACUCUUAAAACCCACUGCUUUGAAUAAACCAUAUGGUCACGGGAGCAGCCGGCCACAUCCAUUGCUUUCCUUGCUUUUACAUCCCCAGGAUACUCUGCUCAUUUUUCUUUGCCUGCCCCCCCCAAGCAAAAAGCCUUCUCUCCCUCAGGGUGGUGUGGACCAGCAGGAAAAUAAAUGAUCUUCAAGGUCCCUUCCAACCCAACCGUUCUAUGAUUCUAUGAAAGCAGGAAGAGGUUUUUCCUUUCUGCUUUCCCUGCUGCCUUGCAGGAAGAUGCUGUUGAGCAGGGAUGGUACCCAUGUGCUCCUCACAUUCUGGGAGCCAUUGGACUGUGGCCUCACCCCAGAGACAGAGUCUUUUGGGUGGCCGUGGAGUCUGGGAGGAAAGGGAACCCAGAAAGAAUCCCAAUGAGUUGUUCUGUCCCCAUGUGAAGUGGCUCCAGGCUCUUGGAGCUGCUACCGUUGCCUCAUCCCAUUCGCUGUCCCGUCCGUUGGUUUGACUUUUCCAUGCAUCAGACAAACGUAGAACACUAAUAAAUGGGUGGGGGGAAAUAACCCUCUGUAAGGAUGUCGGUGGUGCAUCAGCAAACAGGGCAGAAAAUCACAGAUUUGGAUUUGCAAACUGUGCUUUGGUGGCUGGUGGUUGUAAAGGAAUGAGAAAGGGGUUUAGCUCUUAAAGGGGAAAAUAAAAUAGAGUUGGAGGAAGGAAGAGAUUCAAAGCUUGGGUUUGCCCAUUGCAUGAGAGCAGUGCAGCUCUGACCUUGGAAUUAUUCACCCUCUGCCUGCAGGAUCUCUGCUUUCUGUCUAUUUGCCUGUAUGUAUGAGCAGAAAGUCGGUCCCUACUCCAGUCCCUCCCACCAGGGACUGGGGCCAGGGGGUGGGACUGUUUUCUACAUGCACUCAGUGUCCCACAGCUGGCAUUGCUCCCUUGGAGGACCAGAAAAGUCCCAGCCCCGAAGGCAAAUGUUGUUGGUUCCUUAUGUUAAAAGCAAACCAGGCUUCCUCAGAGUACCCUGGCACAGAGUACGCAAACAUCUGGAUGUCAAAUGAUUUUUUCCCAUGUUUGCAGGCCUAGUCUUUUCUCCUUCAUUUUAUUUUUAAGUUAUUAUUUAAAAGGAAGCAGAGUUCUAAUUCGUAAUUCUUGCAAUUGCAGCUGCGGCUCCUGGCGCUGCUGCUCCAUUUACUGACCACCAACCCAUGGAUUGCUCUGUAUGAGCGGGCAUGGUGAGGCCGGGUUGGGGUUGGUGAUCUUAGAGGUCUUUUCCAACCGUAAUGACUCCAUGAUUUGGGGAGGAUUUGAUGUUUCCAUGUAGGGGGCGGGGAGCAUCCCAGAGGCAUCCCUGGAAUCAGCGUGGGAUUAAAAUCACUUCCUUGCAACGCGCCAUGUUGGUUCGGUUGGCAGCAAACUCCAUUCCCCCAAUGCAGGAUGGGUGCUGGGGGUCAUCCUCAUCUCUGGUGCCUUAAAACAGCUCCUGGGGCCAUGCAUAAGGGCAGCUCUGUUACAUUAGGGGGCUUUGGAAGCACUGGGGGUGCGAGGAGGAGGAGGAGGAGGAGGAGGAGGAGGAAGAGGAAGAUGAAGGCUCGCCACCAGCAAUGCGAAAAGCAAAGCUCCCCCCUCCCAUAGGAUAAAAUAAAAAGAAUCCCAAAUGAAUCCUAUGGAGAGCCCUGUGUAAAGAAGGGUGGGAGGAAAGAGGAAAGUAAGAGGGUAAUAAGUUUGGUGCUGGCACUUCUGUUUUCUCCCGGUAUAUUCUCCCCUCUGCCAUUCUACAUGUAGAAAUAGAGAAAUUAUUUUUGUUCCGGAGAUACUGAAAUGAAUUUAUUUUUGUUGCAAGAGAUGAUCUAGUUUGGAAACGCUCAGUGUUGUAAAUAAAACGGGGAGGAAAAGAAAACAUCCGACCAAAUCUGUGUUGUCUCCCGGUUCCGCAUUUUAAUUCAUGUAUUUUUAAAGGAUUUGAUUUGUUUAGGGCUCAUUCUGUGAAACCCAAAUGCCAUCACUCUGUGUCGCUGUCUCGUAGUUCCUGUCUCAAAUUGUUGCUGCUAUUGACCUGUUCCACCAUCCCAGCCCCAUCUGCUGUGGGUUUUCUCUGUCGUUCACUGACCAGGAUGGGAAAAUAACCCAAUAAAAUCUGUUUGUGUCUC